Molecule: non-coding RNA, 85 nt
Organism: Phycisphaerae bacterium
Lineage: Bacteria; Pseudomonadati; Planctomycetota; Phycisphaerae
Source: Rfam
GCGGAUGUGGCGGAAUUGGCAGACGCGUUAGCUUCAGGUGCUAAUGGGCAAUACGCCCGUGGAGGUUCGAGUCCUCUCAUCCGCA